AGUCAGGGGGUGUGGCUGAGGACAGCUUGC
RNAcentral lists this non-coding RNA (30 nucleotides) under Homo sapiens (human). Lineage: Eukaryota; Metazoa; Chordata; Mammalia; Primates; Hominidae. The record is from RNAcentral.